This 468-nucleotide ribosomal RNA is filed under the name Triticum aestivum (bread wheat). RNAcentral describes it as "partial small subunit ribosomal RNA". Lineage: Eukaryota; Viridiplantae; Streptophyta; Magnoliopsida; Poales; Poaceae. The record is from RNAcentral.
AUGCUUCUCAGGUCCUCCUCUUCCGCGUUCCUGCUAAACGGCGAUCCUGGAAUUCCUCUGAUCCACCGCCGUGGACUGCGGCAAGGAGACCCCUUGUCCCCGUUGCUGUUUAUCCUUGCCAUCGACAUCCUCCACCGCCUCAUAACAAAAGCUGCUGAAGAUGGCAUCCUUGCUCCUCUGCCUGGUAGAGAGCUGAAGCUGCGCACCAGCAUGUACGCUAACGAUGUAGUCAUUUUUGCAAACCCAGUUCGAGCAGAGUUCGACAAGCUGCUUGACAUCAUCACUAGCUUUGGGGAGGCUUCAGGUCUGCACCUCAACAUCAGCAAGUGCACUGUCACGCCCAUCAGAUGUGACCACAUUAAUCUCCAUGAGGCUCUGCAUGCUUUUGGUGGACAAAUAGUUGCCUUCCCAAUCAGAUAUUUGGGACUACCAAUAAGCCUCGGAAGAGCCAGACUGGUGCAUUUUUAG